This 254-nucleotide ribosomal RNA is filed under the name uncultured bacterium. Its description in RNAcentral is "partial 16S ribosomal RNA". It matches the Rfam family "Bacterial small subunit ribosomal RNA", at positions 524 to 776 of the family's 1533-position model. The record is from RNAcentral.
UACGUAGGGUGCAAGCGUUGUCCGGAAUUAUUGGGCGUAAAGAGCUCGUAGGCGGUCUGUCGCGUCGGCUGUGAAAACUUGGGGCUCAACCCCAAGCCUGCAGUCGAUACGGGCAGACUUGAGUACUGCAGGGGAGACUGGAAUUCCUGGUGUAGCGGUGGAAUGCGCAGAUAUCAGGAGGAACACCGGUGGCGAAGGCGGGUCUCUGGGGCAGUAACUGACGCUGAGGAGCGAAAGCGUGGGGAGCGAACAGG